AUUAUUUAAAAAUUUAAAAUCUCUUUUUAACACUGAUAGAGUAUUAGAGUAUAUCAUUCCUAAGUUUAUAUCAGCUGAAAAAUAGAUAUAGAUGGUGUUGUUCCAAGGGCAAAGAGCAAAAAGCAUUCAAGACGUUUUCGAGCAGCCAAAGAUGCAGCGGAUGCGGUAUGCAUUCAGAUUUUAACUUUUCAACUUAGCUUCUUCUGAAUUGAAGUCAAUUGGUGGAUUAUGCUUUCUAGUGUUGAUGGUUAAUUGACUAAUCAAAGCAAGCCAGAUCUUAUCAAAGUGGAACAGCUUAUUCAGGCGGUAGGCGGUAUGAAGAUAAAAAUUUUCAGAAGAGUGCUCGAUUGCAUCAGGGUAAAAAUCGGUAUGGUGUUUGAAGAGGAGCCCAUUUAAGUUUAAAACGUGUUGAACCAGCUCGAAUCACUGGUACCAAGAUUGCAGUAGACUUGGAAUCUUGAAUCAUUCUAAGUCUUCCAAGAGCCGGUGCCCACAUACAUAUCAACUUGUUUGGGUGACAAAUACAUGUUGUCGUGAUCAAGAUUUUAAUGGUAGACUUGGAGUCAUGAAUCACUGUAAGUCUUUUAAGAGCCGAUGGCCACAUACAUUUUAUCUUGUUUGGGUCAUAAUAACAUGUUAGCGUUAGUAAACGAUUGCUGGUUGUAGUGUUAAACACGUAAACUUUCCUAUCAAAGUAGGAUGUGUCUUAGAAGUUAGCUGGUUUUCUCAGUUCUAUCUUGACUUUCUGAAUGACAUUGUGUUUGUCCUUUGAUUUUAGAAUGAGCACGGCAGAUUUGAUUGA
Long non-coding RNA from Erigeron canadensis, 802 nucleotides. RefSeq lists it as uncharacterized. Lineage: Eukaryota; Viridiplantae; Streptophyta; Magnoliopsida; Asterales; Asteraceae. The record is from RefSeq and is a predicted model, not a curated record. The transcript is spliced from 4 exons.